CCUUUAAAAGGAAGGAAUCUCAAUAAUGUCUUAGGAUGCUUGCAUCUUUGAGAAGAGAUUUGUUAUUAAUUUUGGUUUACAGUAUGACAUUUUUAGCUAUUUCUUGGGGAGGGAAAUAAUAUUCUAAAAAUUUUAGCAAAUGUCUUAGUAAUUCUGAUAACAUUGGAAGUUAUUUUUUAAUGAUAGUCGGGAUAGGAUUUUAAUUUUUUUUUUCUGGGCCAUACAGUUGACGUUUAUUAUAAGCUGGAUUUGAAAUAUACAGUGGUUGAUACGGGUUUAGGAAAGUUGUAAUUUUAGUUUUUUUUUUUGUUUUUUUUUUUAAUUAGGAGAAUGUUUAACUUAAUAACUUUUUGCAGCCAAGCUGGGCUUUAGCUGCCCUUUGGUUGAGGGCCACUUCACAAUAACAGCUGCAACUCUUUGGACACCCACUCCACAAACUUCAGGUCUUUCUCAAGGUAAAGUACCAUUUUUAUUGAAAUACUUCUGUUAUUUGUCAACUGUUUAAUGUAUUUUAAAUCAUAAUGCCACAUUAAUUUGGUUCCUAGCUUUAUUUUUUAUGUCAUCAGCAAAGUUUCUGAAUGAUCUAUGCUUAACUCCGUAUUGCCCAUAGGCCUUUUAUUUUGCAAGAUUUCUCAGUUUGGUGAUUUUUAUUAUUUUUUUUAGCACUGCGUGUGUCACAUUAUAGUAUUACUAACUGCACAUAUAGGUACUUUAUCAUGUAUGAUCUGAAAUACAUAACUUACAGAAUAAAAAUGUAAUUAUACUUACUGUAAUGCUGAGAUGUAGUAUCUGUUUCAGUUAUCACUGUGUAUCAAUCCUGGGACUUGGUAGCUCAAAUUAAAAGCUCAAAUGAAAAGCUCAGGAGCUUUUGAUAAUGCCCAUGUGUCUGUGGCUUGACGAGGCUCAACUGGGCAAUUCUCCUGCUGCCCUCACUUCGGGUCCCAUGUGGCUAUUAUCAGAUGGCAGCUGGGGCUAGAAGGGUCUGAGGUUAACUGGUGGUGUUAAGCACCAGGUUUCCUGGCCUUCCUUAAUCAGUACAAAUUGACAAGAGGCUAGACAAAUUCAGGCAAGCCUUUCCUUAGGGCCCCUGCUGCAGCAGGAGAAAGCAACAAGUAACAGGUUUCCUUGCUCUGUCCCGAAGUGGGGCAAGCUAGUUCCUUAUAUGGGGUGAGGGUAGAGGUAGGUCCAGGGAUCGGGCCAGAGGGGUAUCUUCGGUGGUUUGCCCACUCUUUGGUGUAUGGGCAAUGCUCUGCUUUUGCUCCCUACUCUUCAGAAGUGGCAGUUGUUUUUGUGUUUUUUUUUUUUUUUAAAUCUUUUUGUUUAUUGUCCAUAACUUGCCCCAACUGUGCAUGCACGCUAUUAUUUUUAGUCCCAUAUAGUUUCUUUGUAUUUUGUUGCUGGAAGAAAUGUUUGUGCAGGUGCAAGCACUGCCCCAAAAGGGCCUGGGUCCCAGGUCCCAGCCUGUCUCAGGCAACCAAGAAGCAUAAAAUUUGAAACUGCAAGGCAUUCUUAAGCCUCAGACCUGGAUUUGCAUGGUAUCACCUUUCCCACCUCCAGUAGGCUAAGCAGUUAUAGGGCCAGCCCUAAAUCCAGAGAGGAGAAAUUUGGAUAAUAGCAAAGAAUGGGGAAAAUAGCAAAGAAUCUGUGGCUGUCUUUAAUCCACCACGGUAUUCUUCAUUAAUAGUUUUGUAGAUGAAUAUCAUAAGAUUAUAGAGUCAGAAGAUUCUUAGCAAUUGUUUAGUCUGAUAUCCUCAAUUUACAUGAAAGGGUACAGGAAUAAAAUAAUAAAAGCAGACCUGGAGCUACAACCAUCUCUUCUUGUUUUAAAUUUCUCAUAACCCAUGAAACUUCCCAGGAUAUAGUAGGUAAUAAAUAUAUACUUCUUGACAUAGGAAUUUAUUAGUAAAUAAAACCUAAGCUUCUAAUAAUAUUCAAUGUAAAGAAGCACCCAUGUUUCUAAGUUUUAAAAAAUAUGCCUGCAUUUUCCAAAAGGUGAUAAGAUUGAAAAAUAUUUUAAAUGAUAGCAGAACAUGAUAUUUCAGUAUCAAGGAAAUUUUAACUGUUUGUUAUUGUGUCUUCAAACACACACACACAUAAACACAAAGAAAUGGAAUUUUGCAAGACAGUGAAUUUAAGUAGAUCUUUUAUUUCUAAGGAAUAUGUGAUACCCUCAUGGUCUGAUACCAAGUUCAUUGUGCCUUAGGUGGUGUUUGAGCUCUCACAUUCAUUGUGAGUAAAGGAAGGCAUGAUUUGUAGUGUAGGGGAGGAUGUGCAUGAGUUAUGUGCAAAUACUGCACCAUUGAACUAAAUACACCAUUGAGACUUGAGCAUCUGUGGAUUUUAAUAUACUAAGGAGGUCCUGGAAGAAGCUCCACAUGGAUACAGAGAGACCACUGCACUUCACCUAGCUAGUAUAAGAAGGUAAUGAGCCCAUGGGUGGGAAAACAUUUUACAAAUUGGAGGUCAUUAUUCAUCUUGUUUUCAAUUCCUUUGUUUGUUUUUUUUUAAUGUUUUUAUUGUAGUUGUUUCACAAAGUUCUGUCAGUUUUGCUGUACAGCAGAGUGACUCAGUCAUACAUAUAUAAACAUUUUUUUCUCAUAUUCUGUCGUGUUCUGUCACAAGUGAUUGGAUAUAGUUCCCUGUGCUAUACAGCAGGACUUCAUUGCUUAUCCAUUCUAAAUGUAACAGUUUGCAUCUCCUCACCCCAAACUCCCAGAACACCCCUAUCCCCUUGGGAACACAAGUUUGUUCUCUUUAUCUUUGAGUGUGUUUCUGUUCUGAAGAUAGGUUCAUUUGUGCUGUAUUUUAGUUUCCACAUAUAAGUGAUAUCAUAUGGUAUUUAUCUAUUUCGAUUACUUCACUUUGUAUGAUAAUCCCUGCUUGUGUCCAUGUUGCUGCGAAUGGCACUGUUUUGUUCUUUUUAUGGCUGAGUAGUGUUUUAUUGUAUAUAUGUACCACAGCUUAGUCCAUUCCUCUGUAGAUGAACGUUUGGAAUGUUUCCAUGUCUUGGCUGUUGUGACUAGUGCUGCAAUGAGGAUAGGGGUGCAGUGAACAUAGGGGUUUUUCAUACCUAUUGUUCACAUGAGCUAUUGUUCAUAUGAGUUAUUUGUUCAUAGGGGUUAAACAUAGCUAUUGUGAUUAGUGCUGCAUAUUGCUGCAGCAUUGUUCAUAUUGUUCAAUAGUGCUGCCAUAUUGUUCAUAUGAGAUAUUGUUCAUAGCAGUUGAACAUGGCUAUGGUGAAUAGUGCUGCAGUGAACAUAAGGGUGCAAUGAACAUAGAACAUAGGUGUAUCUUUUUGAACAAAAGUUUUGUCUGGAUAUGUGCCAGGAGUGGGACUGCUUAAUCAUAUGAUAGUUCCAUAUUUAGUUUUCUGAGGAACUUCCAUGUUGUUUUCCAUAGCAGUUUUACCAGGUUACACUGCCACCAACAGUGUAGGAGGGGUCCCUUUUCUCCAUACUAUCUCCAAUAUUUGUUAUUUGUUGAUUUGUCAAUGAUGGCCAUUCUGACCAGUGUGAAGUGGUACCUCAUUAUAGUUUUGAUUUGCAUUUCUCUAAUAAUUAGUGAUGUUGACAUUUUUUCAUAUGCCUGCUGGCCCUCCAUAUGUCGUCCUUGGAAAAAUUUCUCUUUAGGUCAUCUGCCCAGUUUUUGUGAUUGGGUUGUUUGUUUUUUUGCUGUUGAGUUGUAUGAGUUGUUUGGUGUAUUUUGGAGAUCAAGCCCUUGUUGGUUGCAUUGUUUGCAUUGCAUAUUCUCCCAUUCAUUAGGUUGUCUUUUUUUUUUUUUUUUUUUUAAUGGUUUCCUUUGCUGUUCAAAAGCUUAUAAGUUUGAUUAGGUUCUAUUGGUAUAUGUUUGGUUUUAUUUCUGGUUUUAUUUCUAUUACCUUGGGAGACUGGAUCUAAGAAAAUAUUUGUAUGGUUGAUGUCAGAGAAUGUUUUGCUUAUGUUCUCUUCUAGAAGUUUUAUGGUGUCUUGUUUUAUGUUGAAGUCUUAGUUCUAGUUUCAUUGCUUUGCGUGCAGCUGUCCAAUUUUCCCAGCACCAUUUGGUGAAGAGACUGUCUUUUUUUCCCAUUUUGUAUUCUUGCCUCCUUUGUCAAAGAUUAGUUGACUAUAAGAAUCUGGGUUUAUUUCUGGGCUGUCUCUUCAGUUCCAUUGGUACAUGUGUCUGUUUUUGUACCAGUACCAUACUAUCUUGAUCAUACUGUCUUGAUCUCUAUAGCUUUUUAAUAUUUUCUGAAGUCUGGGUGAAUUGUAUCUCCUGCUUUCCCCUCCUCCCCCCAUGUUUGCUUUGGCCAUUCUGGGUCUUUUAUGGUUCCAUAUAAAUUUUUGGAUUGUUUGUUCAUGGCUCAGUAGAAAUGCAUCUGACUAGCAUCCGUGACACAGUUUCGAUCCCUGUCCUUGCUUAGUGGGUUAAGGAUCUGGCAUUACCACGAGCUGUGGGGUAGGUCACAGACGAGGCUCAGAUCUGGCAUUUCUGUGGCUGUGGCCUAGGCCAGCAGCUGCAGCUCCGAUUUAAUGCCUAGCCUGGGAACCUCCACGUGCCUUGGGUGUGGCUCUAAAAAG
RNAcentral lists this long non-coding RNA (4556 nucleotides) under Sus scrofa (pig). Its description in RNAcentral is "lncRNA (ENSSSCG00040035225.1)". Lineage: Eukaryota; Metazoa; Chordata; Mammalia; Artiodactyla; Suidae. The record is from RNAcentral.